This 216-nucleotide long non-coding RNA is filed under the name Homo sapiens (human). Its description in RNAcentral is "HSALNT0350208". The record is from RNAcentral. Lineage: Eukaryota; Metazoa; Chordata; Mammalia; Primates; Hominidae.
CCCCCACUCCUGCCCGCCAGAGAACAAACCCCCUUUGACUGUAAGUUUCCUUUACCUACCCAAAUCUUAUAAAACGGCCCCACCCCUAUCUCCCUUCACUGACUCUCCUUUCAGACUCAGCCCACCUGCAGCCAGGUGAAAUAAACAGCCUUGUUGCUCACACAAUGCCUGUUUGGUGGUCUCUUCACAUGGACGCGCAUGAAAAUGACACCCAUU